UCCCCCAUAGCUCAGCUGGCAGAGCAAUCGACUGUUAAUCGAUGUGUCGUUGGUUCAAGUCCAACUGGGGGAG
RNAcentral lists this transfer RNA (73 nucleotides) under Christensenellaceae bacterium. RNAcentral's name for it is "tRNA-Asn". It matches the Rfam family "tRNA". Rfam says of the family: Transfer RNA (tRNA) molecules are approximately 80 nucleotides in length. Their secondary structure includes four short double-helical elements and three loops (D, anti-codon, and T loops). RNAcentral also lists the same sequence under 2 other names. Lineage: Bacteria; Bacillati; Bacillota; Clostridia; Christensenellales; Christensenellaceae. The record is from RNAcentral.